This 509-nucleotide ribosomal RNA is filed under the name Flexopteron poppei. Its description in RNAcentral is "partial 16S ribosomal RNA". It matches the Rfam family "Bacterial large subunit ribosomal RNA", at positions 1817 to 2597 of the family's 2925-position model. Lineage: Eukaryota; Metazoa; Mollusca; Gastropoda; Neogastropoda; Muricidae. The record is from RNAcentral.
GGCUCCUUGUAAAAUAUAAAUAAGGAGUCGGACCUGCCCGGUGAAUUUUUUUAACGGCCGCGGUACUCUGACCGUGCAAAGGUAGCAUAAUCAUUUGCCUUAUAAUUGAAGGCUUGUAUGAAUGGUUUGACAAGAAUGUAACUGUCUCUUUAUAAUUAAAUAGAAUUUUAUUUAUAGGUGAAGAAGCCUAUAUAAUAUUGAAAGACAAGAAGACCCUAUCGAGCUUAAAAGAAGUUAAUAAAUUUUAAAUUAAUAUAAAUUAGAAAAUUAAUUAUUAAAAAUUUUGGUUGGGGCGACUAAGGAACAAACAAAGCUUCCUUUAUUUUGUAAAGACAAACAGGUAUUGAUCCAAAAAUUUUGAUUAAAGAAAAUAGUUACCGUAGGGAUAACAGCAUUAUCUUUUUUGAGAGUUCUAAUCGAAAAAAAGGUUUGUGACCUCGAUGUUGGACCAGAAUAUCCUGAAGAUGCAGCCGUCUUUAAGGGUUGGUCUGUUCGACCAUUAAAAUUCU